Non-coding RNA from Rhopilema esculentum, 5408 nucleotides. The record is from RefSeq and is a predicted model, not a curated record. Lineage: Eukaryota; Metazoa; Cnidaria; Scyphozoa; Rhizostomeae; Rhizostomatidae.
AUCAAGCCUAAAAGGACGACAAAUCGGUUAUAAUCCUCAGUGGAUCAUAUGCAAAACAAGAAAAAUGUUUGGAAAACAAUACAAAAUCUACAUAAAAAGUAAUUUAUCACUAGUACAUAUUGAAAUUCACUUGACUGGAAAAUAUUUGGUCUAGAGAUUAGUGUCUAGAUGGAAUGACGACAUUAAAUUUGAAUAGGCAACGCUGCAAGAUGAAAUCACGAAGACCUUAAGGAUUGCAUAGUUAAACAUGAAAGUAAAUUAUUCAAGCAAAGGCAAAAUUAUUGGAACCACGGGGCAAAAAUGGAACCUCAUCCACAAAAAUGGAACAGUUAAAACCAAAGGUGCCAAUAAAUUCCAACAGAAAUGAGGCAUCGUGAAAGUCAUCAAUCUACAGCGAAGAAGAGGUGCAUAAAUGGUUGCUGUCUCGCCAGACCUUAUUUUAAGGAGAUUUUAUCACUGCACCAUUUAUUUUCUAGAAUCAACAAAAUAAAAAACCAAGGCUGUAUGCAAACAAGACUGUACGAAAAGGGAGGAUGUUUAAGCUUUGAAUCUUUUUUCGUUGUAGACUACAAUUUACAAUAUAAACUUUUCUUUGGUUUGUUUGCGUUGCUUUUCAUAUAAGUUCGGCUGCGUUUUAGCCUCUAUUUGCACAAUAAAUUCUUGAUUAUUAUCUUACGGCAUAUUAUCACUGUAAAACUUUCUAAUUAUCACUGCAGAUUUUGGAUUUAUCAUUGCGAACGUUGUCUUGUCUGUCAUAGAGCCUUUGGAUCAGGAUUCUGUCUCGAGCGACUUCGCAGCAGCUGAAUUUCGGCAUUAGAAGGAUGUUGCCAAUUUCGCAUUUUACAGCAUGCAGAAGCGAUAGAUAAAGUCGCAACUCAUCGGCUAUAUUAAAGGCAUUUGAAACGGGUAAAAGUGGCUUACAGCAACUCGACCACGAGCGGUUGACCAAUCAAAUUUCGCACAGAGAAAAACACGUGAACAGUUUCAGUCUUUCUGCAAAUCGGUGAAAUCCUAGACCAGCGCGCAGUGGUUUAACGUGAUCAGUUUCCAAUUCCAUUCUUGUGCGCGUGCUCUGAUCAAUUUGGCCUAAGUUAUUUUUGGAUUCGCUGUACUUAUGCAUGUCAAAUGCCUUUAAGUUCGGUGCUAAGUCACUGAGUGGGUGGUUAAUGGCUUUCUCCAUUAAAAGGUAAUCAAUAUUGAAUUACCCUUUGACUACCAAAGGGGCCAUUAUGACGUGCCACAAAUGCCCUAGCCAUAAAACUGUUACAAUGCUAUCAAAUCAUUUCAAAUCAUGUCAGUUUAAGAAAUGAAAUAUUUUCCAUCAUUGUUUCAAUAUGUGAAGCUGGAUUAAGAAGACGAUGAAGAAACAGCAAAGAGUAUAUGACAUUUUAUAAUAUUUAAGACAAUGUAGGCAAACGUUCAUAAUUGAAAAAAUGUUAGUCUGGCUUGUUUAAGUAAACAGUCCAUCCAGUAACGCCUGGCUAAACGUUGUACAAUCAAAUUUACAAUAAAAUAAACAGUUAAAUCGAAAAGUAUUUUGGGUUUUAGAUUCGGCUUUGAAAUCUUCAGGCAGCAACAAAAGGCAGCAAAACUCAAAUAUCUAAAUAUUACGUUUCAUACAGGAAACGUUUUCUAAAAUUGUUUAUAAACAUUAUGUCAAAAAUGUUAUUGGAAAAUAAUUGCAACGAUAAUGCAGGGUUUAAAAUCUCAAGAGUUUAAUAAUCUUAGGAAAUCUGAGUGGCAAGUGUCUCCAAUUAAAUCGAUGACAAAAUGGCAUUUUUUUCAAUGCUGUGUUUGUCUAAGCAAUGGUCAUUAUCAAGAACUUAAAUACUUCUGUCUUUUACCAAGAUAGCAGUACUCGGAACCAGGGCCGUGAAAAGCCAGCUCGGGUUCAAGUGUGAUUCACAAAACUGGGCCCUCGUAAAAUAACUUUCUGUGACCAGGCCUUUCAGUCUCUCGAACAACUAGGGAAACAAUUUAGGGAAACGCCCUCUUAAGGUACAAGUGUCUGAAAAUAUUCUUAAGAAGACUUUGCAAAAACAUUUUAUUCAUGAAUCAAGGACAGGGCAUCGUAUUUCUCUAUGAUAAACGUACAGGCAUCGACCCCACACAUGUUUUCUGGGAUGUAAAUAGAUCUUGUAACAAUCUGAUAGUAACAUGGUGUAAGAUUAUUAUCGGCCCCUUCGGAGCACGGGCCCCGAACCUUUUGCUCCUCCUAACCACACUCCUUUUGACGCUGUUGCCCAGGACAAGAUAAACUUUACGGCACUCGUUUGAAGGUUUGGCGGGGGCAACUGAGCAAAACUAAGAAAACAGCCUGAAAAACAAAUAAUUUUCCAUUUGGGAUUUUAAUAAUUACUUUUGAAUUGGUAAGAUAUCAGACCGAAAUAUGAUAAACGAGCAAAUAUUUAACACAAUAGACAUAAAAGAUCAACCAGAAAUAGCGAAAAUAUGUACCAGACAUCAGAGGUUAUCUUUGAGAUAAGGGCUAAAAAAAGCUGCUUAUAGAAAGGACAAAAAGAAUACGUUUCCGUGUGGAAAAGAUAAUACUUUUUUAGUUUCACUUUGUUUUACCUAUGGCCUCGUUUCGAAAAUUACCCUAAUAGCACAAAUUUUGGUCUAAAUACCGAUUUUCAUCCCCUUAUUGCUGGGGUGAUUGUAAGAUAAAUUGUGAGAUGCGUGGGUUUAUUGUAAGAAAAAUUAUAAGAAAAAGAUACAUUGUAGGGAAUUUGCCCAUGAAAACGUACGAAGGUCCAGAGUUUUGCCGGGUGGAAGAGCAAACUUCUGUUCUAGAGAGAAGGUGCAUUUUCGGGUUCCCCGUGGGGGUUUGAGGGAUGGGGUUAUAAAGGACUGUAUGUGUAAGCAAUUGUCGGAUGAAUAAACUGAACAGGCAAACACGGAUAAAUAAUUCCGCAACACAUGAUUCACACUGGAUAUCACACUGAAUCAACUGUUUCUCCGUUCAAAUGGAAAAUAAAGGAUGAUAUGAUGCCAUUACUUCCCAGUCAGAAUUAUUCAUUUUAACAAAAGAGAAAUGAGUUCACGAGAGAGCAUUCAAUAAAACCACGCCGUGCAGGAUCCACAUCGACAAAGAGUCAUGACUUGCCAAUAAGUUAAACUCAAAAAAUUGCAAAACGACCGUUUUAAUAUUAAUGCUUUUCAUGGUAAUGACUGAAGACAUAUUAAGAAGAGUUUAGCCAGAACUAAAAAGUGUUUCCGGAGGCUCGAAAAAGAUGCAAACACCGGACUUUAAUGAAUUGAAUUCAAAUAUCAACAAUUCGGUACAGAUAUUGCUAGACAAAUUGUAAACUCCAGUCUGGCCAUUUGGUCAGCUAACAAACGUUAUUAUUGAAUUACUGGUUUUUCAAAGCCGCAACUUUCUGCUGUUCAAGCAGACCAUCACACACAAAAAAUUAAAUCAAAUAUAUUACGUAAUUCUGAAAUUUGCCGAGAUCUCGUUUGAGUUUAUGGUGGCGAGUCCCUUAAAAGCGGGAAUUCUUAAUGAUAUGUAAAGACGUCGUUGUAGAUCACAACCUUUGAAAUUUUUACCACCAUUUUCCGGAUAAGCAUGACUUUCCCUAAAACUUUUAAAAAGUUUCUCAAUGCGUCAGCCCCGGUGGCACCUGGCUCUUGUAAAAGAAUUUUAGCAGAUAACUUACGAUUCGCUGCUGCAAAACAAAUCUUCGAAUAGUUCCUUGCGUAUUGCAUCGUAUUCUGUAAUUUCGAUGUCUCCGGUCGCAUCCAUUGCUUGAAGUAAUAGGUCCUCUUACAUGCAUUUGACCAUAUGAUACGGGCCACAUAUAGAAAUUGCUCGAUUUUCAAGCAUGACACGCUAGAUGAUUUCCGCGAUGUUUUUGCGCUUCAAUGCUCAUGAUUGUUCCUUGUACAUUGAAAUACACUUCACGUUCUUAGGCGUAUUAUGCAAAUUGUAUUGUGCGGCGAAAAACAUUUUCUUUGAUUAACAAGAUUAUGAAUCGUGUGACACAAUCAAAUCAGCCAUCCCCCGUCAUAAAAGCUACUAGUAGGGUUAACUGUCGAUUUCCACUCCAACAACACGGGGGAGUAUUUGUACAGCCUUUUUGAGGCUUCCAGUCUAAUAUACAAAAUUACAAGAAACAUUGCUAUCCACAUUGCCCGCAGAGGGGAAAGAAUGAUGUUGGUUUAAAGGAAAGAUUUACGGCAAAUCCACCCUGGGCUUCAGCGUUGGCUAUGAUUCAAAUAUGACCACUUUUCCAGGGUGAUGCAACCACUAGAUAUGCGUGUAUCAUGAAAGACAGCUGAAAAGAUCACAAGGCAGAUCAUGAAAGACUAAAAGAAUGGAAGGAAUUUCAAGAGAAAUGUAGAGAUUCGGCACAAAGAGGGUAACGUCAAAAUCUUUUUACCCUCCCAAAAUAGGAAAUUAACAAGAUUGUUAUUCAGUGUUUCAUCAAGUGAAAUCUAUCUAAAAAUUACUGCAAGUGAGCGAUCUGAUUUUCUCAAAAGAGGUAUCUAAUUGUGUCAAUAUGGGAAAUAAUGUUUGCAAAAUUAUUGCUACGAGAUCAUCAACAUAGAAGUGAAAACCUCUUGGUUAGGAUCAUGCUAGUUUUUGUAAUACAGUUACUGUGCGCAUACCAUAUGAAUGCUUGAAGAUUUUUGGUAUUUAUGCUUAUGCUAGGUCAGAUAAAGAGCGUUGUAUUUUUAUAGCUCUAAGAGGGAUGACUUCCAAAUGAAAUUCGUGUCCAACAAAAGAACGAAACUUGAAACGGAUAGAUGCAAUGGUUGCCAAAAACAGUUGGAACUCAACAACAAGUCACUCUGUCAAUGCUUAAUUUAAUUGAAUGAAGCAAAAGCCUGAUACGCUGAUCGUUAAAAAAGCAAUGUGACAAGGGUAAUGACUUUUGUCUAACUGGAGAUGAAUCUCAUUUAGGGGUAGCAAAGCGGAAACUCAAGUGCGGGAUAUGAAAAUGGGAUUGAGAAAGAAUAACCGGAAAUGCUUCCAGAGGUUUAAAGAAAAAUCAUGGAAAUGUGAAAUAACUUGCCCUGGGUUAUCUUUUCUGACCAGUAGAAAGCUCAGUUAUUACAUCAUAGUGUUCUGGCGGGAUAAAGAAGGAAUAAAAAAGUAGUGCUCUUUAUGCAAUACAUGACUAAAUGCUGAAUGAUUACAAUCUCUGUUGUAUAUUUCAGUAAGAAAAACGCCUACAGAUAUUUAGUUGACAGGCAAGGCCAGUUUUUAAACCACAUUAGAUUUUUAUUGGUGGUUUUGGGCGGAUUGCGUAAUCGUGUUGAGGUUGUGGUACAACCAGGAUUCCUAGAUUUGCAAUUUCAGGCAAAAUUUUCCAAUCUAGAUAGAGUGUAAAGAUUUCGAUUUUAAUUUCAGCUACUCUACAUAUUACUGAAAGUCGCUUUGCAAUUCCUUACCAUAACGUGUA